This 225-nucleotide long non-coding RNA is filed under the name Lathyrus oleraceus (garden pea). RNAcentral's name for it is "Pisum sativum (pea) long non-coding RNA (PSAT_LNC023200)". The record is from RNAcentral. Lineage: Eukaryota; Viridiplantae; Streptophyta; Magnoliopsida; Fabales; Fabaceae.
AAGUCACCAAUUUGAUAUACCUGUCUCUUGACCUUUUUGUCAAAUGCCUGGAUCAUGCGCUUCUGAUAUAUCUGCCUAUGACAAACAGCCGCGAGUCUCUUCAAUCAAAUUUAUCUGAUCGAGUCGAGUCUGAAUCCAUUCAUCUUCAUCUAAGCCCGCCUCUUUCAUGAUUCUUAGAGAGGGAAUCUGAACUUCCACUGGUAAGAUGGCUUCCAUUCCAUAGAC